GUUUUGAACUAUUACCUGGAGUGGAUGCAUUAUUGAUUACAAAUCAUCCACAUCCGAACUCAGUCCUUUGUCUGCACUGAGCUGAUCCUUUCUGUUGAUAAUAAACCUUCGAAACCUG
Notolabrus celidotus (New Zealand spotty) is the source of this 118-nucleotide long non-coding RNA. RefSeq lists it as uncharacterized. The record is from RefSeq and is a predicted model, not a curated record. The transcript has 2 exons. Lineage: Eukaryota; Metazoa; Chordata; Actinopteri; Labriformes; Labridae.